RNAcentral lists this long non-coding RNA (732 nucleotides) under Gouania willdenowi (blunt-snouted clingfish). RNAcentral's name for it is "lncRNA (ENSGWIG00000019555.1)". The record is from RNAcentral. Lineage: Eukaryota; Metazoa; Chordata; Actinopteri; Blenniiformes; Gobiesocidae.
AUAGGAGACACUAGUGUAGCUGGCAGCCCGACCGGUGCAGGAGGUGAUGGAGAUCGACUGGGUGGAGCAGGAAUCCCAAUUAUUGGUGCAAAACCAGGACUCAAUGGGACCACCAUUUCAGGGACUGGUGACAGGACAAGUGUGAUUCUACCGGGAGCCAAACCCCUCAAACCCCCAGGUGUUCCCAGAGGAGACACACCAGGUGAGGGAGAUGGAGAAGGAGGCCCUGAUGGAGAGAGGGAGGGUACUAUUGGCAUAGCUGGAGGUCCUACUGGUGCAGGAACACCUGGAAGUGUUUCAGGUGGAGUGGCGGGAACUGGAGAAGGAGGAAGCCCUGCAGCAGGAGGAACACCAAUGCCACAUAAAGAACAUGGAGCUGAUGGAACAACAGGAGGAGGUAGUGGCAGUGCAGGUGGAGUGACGGGUGGGGUCAGCACUGGUCCUGGGUCUGUUGGAGGGGGUCCGGGAAGUGUCGGAGGUGGGACAGGAGCAGGUGGUUUGGUACCAGGUGGAGGAGGUGCAGGAAUUGUUAAACCUGGAAAAAGUUAUGGAGCAGGUGGAGCUGGAGUUUUGCCAGCUGGAGGUAAUGUAACAGUUCCCACCUGGAUUGAGCAAGUUAUCAGACACUGAAGUUUUACAGUUUAUUUGUUUUCCCUUUCAGGUGUUCGUUAUCCGACUGGAGCGGGAGUAGGAGCCGGAAAACCAGGAAAAGGUUCAAAGAGCUAUCAAACG